AGUAAGAGUUGUCCUCUGGUAUUGCAGAGCUAGAUGUUGCCUCCCAUCACUGACUGUUGGGGAGGGAGACCUCUAAAACAGCUAGCAAUAGAAAGGAACAAACAAAUUUUCCGUGGCACACGACGUUCAAGCCAAUUUAGUAUGAGCCGACGACCGGCAGGCUGGUGUCGAUACUAUUCAGAUAGGUACCGUCAAAUGGGGUAACAUUUAUCGGAAUGAUCCUCGUAGUAAUUCGUGAUUUUCCAACUUUUCGAAACAAUGGUCUACAUGAUUAUGGAUGACUCUAUGGGAGAUGCAUGCCUGACAUGAGUUCUGCAAAUGCUGGUUUUACUAAAUAUGUAAUCACUGAAUCCGUAACAAAAAAAAUUCAUAAGUAUGUUCAACUCAGCACAAUAAAUAAAUCAUUAGAUAAUAAUACAGACAAUCUUUAAGGAAUAACCUACCUUUAGGCGUAUUACGUGA
Molecule: long non-coding RNA, 462 nt
Organism: Aedes aegypti (yellow fever mosquito)
Lineage: Eukaryota; Metazoa; Arthropoda; Insecta; Diptera; Culicidae
Exons: 2
Source: RefSeq, a predicted model, not a curated record